CCCAACCUCUCAGUCACGGGGUAUUUAGGACUUCUAAUCCUAAAAGGGAAUAAAAGGGGUAGGGGAUUUAUGGAGUUUAAAGGAUAAAAUACUGGUUUCGACAUACAAAACAAGUAACAAAUAGAGGGAAUGCACAAACAAACAGGUGAGGCUAAAAUAAAAGCCCUUAAAUCAUGCAAACACUUAGUUUAACAUGUCUUGACACGUACUGAUUUGGACUUUAAAUUAAACUUAAGCAGCGAACGGACUGGUUUAACACAUAUAGUUAGAUAGAAAGUCUGCAUUAGGCAACUCUGAUCCACUUGUCAGAUAUUAAGGUAUUUUAAGCGAGUUAUGUAGAAAGUACUGGUUUCAAAAGGUAACCUAAUGUAGAAGAACUUUGAAAAGAAAGAACAGACAACAAUGAAUUUAGGAAAUAGGUUUUUAGAAGAAAGGUCAGCAAACUGUCCAAGUUCAAAACACAGAAAUAGUUAUAAAAGAAUUUCAGAGACAAAAGGGGACUAUCUAAGGUAAAAGGGUAAGCUGCAUAUCUGUUUUAAAAGACGAGUUCAGGGAUUGAGUAAAACGUCUAGGCAGAAUUUUAGAAAAAAGAAACUGUUUCAGAGAAAAGACGUGUUAAUUAAAGAAAUGGUUUACAGAGAAAGUGAGCACUGGUUUGAGGUCAGUUUUUACUGAAAAGAUUAAGUUUCAGAAAACGUUACUGAGUUAAGGUGUAAAGAAUCAGUUAACAGAUUAUUAUUGCUUAAAACGAAACAGACGAGUUUGAUGAGAAGUCCUAUAGGAAUGAUAUCUAUAUUUGAUUUUUUAGAGCCUAUUAUUGAACUUAAAAAAGGAUGAUUGUUUGAUUUACCCUAUAGUUUGCCUAAUGAAUAUGCAUUCCCUAUAGAUAUGAAAUCUAUAUGGGAAUUUUCAAAAAAAAGGUUUUUUAAAGUCAUAUAGGCAGGAUCUCUAGUGAUUUGCAAUAAGAUUUAAAACUUAUAGGCAUGGUAUCUAUGUGAUUGAAUUAGAAAUAUUAAACAGACAUAUAGGCAGGAUUUCUAGUAAAAACAAAUAGAUUCCUAAAGCAUGGUAUCUACCCUUGAGAAAAGUAAAACCCCUCCCACACCCUUUUACUAUAUUCCCCGAGUUUUAUACAAGUUAUUACUAACUAGAAAAAGGUAUAAAAAUACAUCAAAGACCAAUAGCUAGAUCCAAACUGCCUAAUUCAAUCUUAUUGUCCCACAAUAUGUGAUUAACCAAUUCCGGAAUCCAGAUUUCCAAAGCCUUCUAUUUAUCCAAAGUAUUUCAAAGUUUCAAGGAGUCUCAAGGAUUUCCGGCAUUUCUUACGCUCAGGAUACCACUUAGAAUUAGAAUAGUGCAGUGUGGAAUAGCCAGCUCUCAGGUAUCCAAGUUCAAAGGGAGCUCAAGGGUCCCAAAUCAUGGCUUUCAAGAGAGGGGCAGCUUAAAGCUAGGAGUAAGUGCAAAGUGCAAAAAGAAAUGGGGAACCCUAACAAAUGAUGGUCAUACCCAGCCACAUGUGCAGACUGGCACACUCCUGACUACUUGUUUGGGUUAAGCAAGUUAGGAGCAGACCUUUGAAGGUCAGACCUAAGUAUGGAUAGUGAUUAGGGCACUACCAGACCCAAGUCAAGGCUCAAACACAUAAAGGGGAAAAGAGAAGUGGGACUAGAUUAUGUUAGGGAGUUAAGAACCCAGUUCAGAGCCACAGACAAUAAUAUUAAAGCGUUGUUAUGCCUGGAACCACAACUCACACACAAAGGGGUAAGGGGUAAGGGAUUCACAUAAGUACAUUAAUAACAUAAACAUAAUGAAAGAAAGCAUAACAGACUAGGAUGAAACACAUGGUGAAGGAGCAUUACUUAACUAGGAAGAACAUACCAGUUGCAAAGUAAGAAUAAGAAGAAAAACAGAGCAAUCACAGUAAGUAGAACAGUAGUAGCAAACUCAAAUUUCAGCAGAACACUUGAAAUCUCGAAGAGAACUCAAAGUUAUUUCAGAAAGCAAGGAGUAGAAGUAUAGAGAAGAAGAGAGUAGAAAACAGAGUGCUUAAUACUAUGAGAAAGCAAUUUUAUUGUGAAAACUUCAGUGUUAAAGCGUGUAAAGCUUGUUGUCAAUUGCAAAAGGGGCCCUCUUUUAUAGUACAGAAAACGAGUAGAAAGAGGUAAGAAAAUAACUUUGAAAAUCAGUUUCAAUGAUUUCCCUUCAAUCAAGAGAUUUGAUUUCAAACGGGCAGGAUAAUUAAGAAAAGGGUUUGGUUCAAAAAUCUUUUCCAAAGCAGCAAUAAGGGUAGAUACACAGAAAUUUAUUUAAGGCAUGAGUCUAGUAAUACACGGUUUGGAAAAAUAAGGAAAGGCAAUCAAUCAGUAGGCAGUAAAAAUCAGGAUUUGAGUCUUGGUACGAAUGAAUCCAACCAGAAAAAGGUGAAAAGAGGUUUAGUUUAAAGAAUAUCAGUAGCAGUCAAUCAAAUCUUAGAAAAAGGAGUUCGGAAUCAAUCACAAGUUGGCAAAAAGCCUUUCGAAAGAAAGUUUCAUAUAUAAAGCAUACAGACAACACAAACAAGAGAGAAUCGUAUAGAAAAUCCAGAGUCAUAACAAAG
RNAcentral lists this long non-coding RNA (2596 nucleotides) under Nicotiana benthamiana. Its description in RNAcentral is "long non-coding RNA (NBEN_LNC036983)". The record is from RNAcentral. Lineage: Eukaryota; Viridiplantae; Streptophyta; Magnoliopsida; Solanales; Solanaceae.